ACGUUGGAUACUGGAGCGGGGAAGGAUUUCGUGCCAACGGCACUCGUACACGAGUUGUUCGGAUACUGAGCACAACGUUACACCGUUUUGUUAGGAAAGUGAAGGUGCGUCGGCGGCGUGCGUUUUUUUUUUGGUUUUUUUUUUUUUUUUAAAAAAAAAAAAAAAAAAGGCGCCCCCCCCUGGGCCUUUUUGAAAAGGGGGAAAAAA
Molecule: ribosomal RNA, 207 nt
Filed under: Trypanosoma caninum
Lineage: Eukaryota; Euglenozoa; Kinetoplastea; Trypanosomatida; Trypanosomatidae
Description: partial large subunit ribosomal RNA
Source: RNAcentral